AUGGCUCAGGAUGAACGCUGGCGGCGUGCCUAACACAUGCAAGUCGAACGGAGAUUUAACGCUGAUGAGGCUUCGGCCAAGUCUUGUUAAAUCUUAGUGGCGGACGGGUGAGUAACGCGUGGGCAACCUGCCUCGUACUGGGGGAUAACAGUUGGAAACGACUGUUAAUACCGCAUAAGCGCACGGUGUCGCAUGACACAGUGUGAAAAACUCCGGUGGUACGAGAUGGGCCCGCGUCAGAUUAGCCAGUUGGUGGGGUAACGGCCUACCAAAGCAACGAUCUGUAGCCGGACUGAGAGGUCGGACGGCCACAUUGGGACUGAGACACGGCCCAAACUCCUACGGGAGGCAGCAGUGGGGGAUAUUGCACAAUGGGCGAAAGCCUGAUGCAGCGACGCCGCGUGAGUGAAGAAGUAUUUCGGUAUGUAAAGCUCUAUCAGCAGGGAAGAAAGACUCGUAAGAGAGAUGACGGUACCUGACUAAGAAGCCCCGGCUAACUACGUGCCAGCCGCCGC
RNAcentral lists this ribosomal RNA (515 nucleotides) under uncultured bacterium. Its description in RNAcentral is "bacterial SSU rRNA". It matches the Rfam family "Bacterial small subunit ribosomal RNA", at positions 19 to 518 of the family's 1533-position model. The record is from RNAcentral.